RNAcentral lists this ribosomal RNA (523 nucleotides) under uncultured bacterium. RNAcentral's name for it is "partial 16S ribosomal RNA". It matches the Rfam family "Bacterial small subunit ribosomal RNA", at positions 28 to 523 of the family's 1533-position model. The record is from RNAcentral.
GACGAACGCUGGCGGCGUGCCUAAUACAUGCAAGUCGAACGCUUUUUCUUUCACCGGAGCUUGCUCCACCGAAAGAAAAAGAGUGGCGAACGGGUGAGUAACACGUGGGUAACCUGCCCAUCAGAAGGGGAUAACACUUGGAAACAGGUGCUAAUACCGUAUAACACUAUCUUCCACAUGGAAGAAAGUUGAAAGGCGCUUUUGCGUCACUGAUGGAUGGACCCGCGGUGCAUUAGCUAGUUGGUGAGGUAACGGCUCACCAAGGCAACGAUGCAUAGCCGACCGGGGAGGGUGAUCGGCCACACUGGGACAGAGACACGGCCCAGACUCCUACGGGACGCAGCAGUAGGGAAUCUUCGGCAAUGGACGAAAGUCUGACCGAGCAACGCCGCGUGAGUGAAGAAGGUUUUCGGAUCGUAAAACUCUGUUGUUAGAGAAGAACAAGGAUGAGAGUAAAAUGUUCAUCCCUUGACGGUAUCUAACCAGAAAGCCACGGCUAACUACGUGCCAGCAGCCGCCGUAA